Long non-coding RNA from Homo sapiens (human), 310 nucleotides. NCBI's taxonomy places the organism in Eukaryota, Metazoa, Chordata, Mammalia, Primates, Hominidae. The record is from Ensembl.
AGGCCUUGGGUUACACUCUGAUGAUGCCAGGAUAAUCAGACCAGCCUCUGGGAGACCCUCCCCACCAGGCAACAGCUGUCCCUCAUCCUCCCAGCUCUGUUCCCAUCUGGCCUGGGGAAGUGAGCUUAAGGAUUUUUCCGGAAACGAGGAGAGGUCAGCAUGCUGAAGUGUUUGGAAGGCAUCCGACGGAAUGACGGCUGAGGCCCUCACUCUCCACUGAACUCUGCUUGCGGCUGGGGACUGCUCUGUGUCUGCACGUGUUCGCAUUUAUUAAAUGUGGAGGUGCAAAACAAAACAAAACAAAACAAAA